RNAcentral lists this ribosomal RNA (1057 nucleotides) under Staphylococcus epidermidis. RNAcentral's name for it is "bacterial LSU rRNA". It matches the Rfam family "Bacterial large subunit ribosomal RNA", at positions 1 to 1050 of the family's 2925-position model. The record is from RNAcentral. Lineage: Bacteria; Bacillati; Bacillota; Bacilli; Caryophanales; Staphylococcaceae.
AGAUUAAGUUAUUAAGGGCGCACGGUGGAUGCCUUGGCACUAGAAGCCGAUGAAGGACGUUACUAACGACGAUAUGCUUUGGGUAGCUGUAAGUAAGCGUUGAUCCAGAGAUUUCCGAAUGGGGAACCCAGCAUGAGUUAUGUCAUGUUAUCGACAUGUGAAUUUAUAGCAUGUCAGAAGGCAGACCCGGAAGAACUGAAACAUCUUAGUACCCGGAGGAAGAGAAAGAAAAAUCGAUUCCCUGAGUAGCGGCGAGCGAAACGGGAAGAGCCCAAACCAACAAGCUUGCUUGUUGGGGUUGUAGGACACUCUAUACGGAGUUACAAAAGAACAUGUUAGACGAAUCAUCUGGAAAGAUGAAUCAAAGAAGGUAAUAAUCCUGUAGUCGAAAACAUAUUCUCUCUUGAGUGGAUCCUGAGUACGACGGAGCACGUGAAAUUCCGUCGGAAUCUGGGAGGACCAUCUCCUAAGGCUAAAUACUCUCUAGUGACCGAUAGUGAACCAGUACCGUGAGGGAAAGGUGAAAAGUACCCCGGAAGGGGAAGUGAAAGAGAACUUGAAACCGUGUGCUUACAAGUAGUCAGAGCCCGUUAAUGGGUGAUGGCGUGGCCUUUUGUAGAAUGAACCGGCGAGUUACGAUCUGAUGCAAGGUUAAGCAGCAAAUGUGGAGCCGCAGCGAAAGCGAGUCUGAAUAGGGCGUUGAGUAUUUGGUCGUAGACCCGAAACCAGGUGAUCUACCCUUGGUCAGGUUGAAGUUCAGGUAACACUGAAUGGAGGACCGAACCGACUUACGUUGAAAAGUGAGCGGAUGAACUGAGGGUAGCGGAGAAAUUCCAAUCGAACUUGGAGAUAGCUGGUUCUCUCCGAAAUAGCUUUAAGGGCUAGCCUCAAGUGAUGAUUAUUGGAGGUAGAGCACUGUUUGGACGAGGGGCCCCUCUCGGGUUACCGAAUUCAGACAAACUCCGAAUGCCAAUUAAUUUAACUUGGGAGUCAGAACAUGGGUGAUAAGGUCCGUGUUCGAAAGGGAAACAGCCCAGACCACCAGCUAAGGUCCCAA